RNAcentral lists this ribosomal RNA (398 nucleotides) under uncultured bacterium. RNAcentral describes it as "bacterial SSU rRNA". It matches the Rfam family "Bacterial small subunit ribosomal RNA", at positions 30 to 426 of the family's 1533-position model. The record is from RNAcentral.
AUUGAACGCUGGCGGCAGGCCUAACACAUGCAAGUCGAGCGGUAGAGAGGUGCUUGCAUCUCUUGAGAGCGGCGGACGGGUGAGUAAUGCCUAGGAAUCUGCCUAGUGGUGGGGGAUAACGUUCGGAAACGGACGCUAAUACCGCAUACGUCCUACGGGAGAAAGCGGGGGAUCUUCGGACCUCGCGCCAUUAGAUGAGCCUAGGUCGGAUUAGCUAGUUGGUGAGGUAAUGGCUCACCAAGGCGACGAUCCGUAACUGGUCUGAGAGGAUGAUCAGUCACACUGGAACUGAGACACGGUCCAGACUCCUACGGGAGGCAGCAGUGGGGGAAUAUUGGACAAUGGGCGAAAGACCUGAUCCAGCCAUGCCGCGUGUGUGAAGAAGGUCUUCGGAUUGU